CCUACGGGUGGCAGCAGUGAGGAAUAUUGGUCAAUGGACGGAAGUCUGAACCAGCCAUGCCGCGUGCAGGAUGACGGCUCUAUGAGUUGUAAACUGCUUUUGUACGAGAAUAAUAGUUCUUACGUGAAGGGAUUUGAAUGGAUCGUACGAAUAAGGGUAGGCUAACUCCGUGCCAGCAGCCCCGGUAAUACGGAGGAGUGGAGCGUUAGCCGGAUUGAUUGGGUUUAAAGGGUGCGUAGGCUGUCGGAUAAGUUAGAGGUCAAAUGCCAGGGCUUAACCCCGUGCCUGCCUCUGAUACUGUUCGACUAGAGAGCGGAUGCAGCAGGCGGAAUGAGUAGUGUAGCGGUGAAAUGCUUAGAUAUUACUCAGAACACCGAUAGCGCAGGCAGCUUGCUAAUCCGCAUCUGACGCUGAUGCGCGAAAGCGUGGGUAGCGAACAGGAUUAGAUACCCUUGUAGUC
This 460-nucleotide ribosomal RNA is filed under the name uncultured bacterium. RNAcentral's name for it is "partial 16S ribosomal RNA". It matches the Rfam family "Bacterial small subunit ribosomal RNA", at positions 338 to 795 of the family's 1533-position model. The record is from RNAcentral.